Molecule: long non-coding RNA, 790 nt
Organism: Lathyrus oleraceus (garden pea)
Lineage: Eukaryota; Viridiplantae; Streptophyta; Magnoliopsida; Fabales; Fabaceae
Exons: 2
Source: RefSeq, a predicted model, not a curated record
ACAUCAUACACGACUGAAGGGUAUAACACACACACAUUCAUCAUACAUUAAUACAAAAAUACACAUGUCAUAAUACGAAUACAUACAUGAUGGGAUACAAAAAUUUGCAGUAAGGCAUACAUAGCAUACAAGAGGGGACCGCAAAAAAAAUCAAAAUCAAAACACCAAAAGAAUGUACAAGCAAUCACCAAAAAGCAUUUUCAGCAGAGGAUGAUUUCACAAGCCACUCACAGAACAAUCCCAUAAAAUCAGAGAUUCAAACAAACCUCUCCAACGGAAUUAUUCCGAAUCUUCAGCUCACGUAUUUCUCAAAAAAAAUUCACAGGAGUAAAGGAAGAAAAAUCUGAAUUUCCACACGAGCCAAGUGAAAAUUGCAAUGAAACUCACACGUAUUUUGUUUCCUCAUAACUCCCAAAUUUUAUAAUGAGUGGGAUGUGUGAACCGAUUUAAAAUUGGUGAGGUUGAUUGCACUAGGUCAUGUGGUCAUUCUUGCUAAUAAUGGACAUGUUUGAAGGUUAAAUUGGAGAAGAAGGUGGCUUAAUGAUAAAGCUUAGCAUUAAGUCCUUACUAGUGAACCAUGGUUGCAGGAUGAAUUUCUUUGGUGAUGAAGAAAUAUGGCUUGAAGGUAGCUUGGAAUGGCUCGAAGAUGGCAAGUUUCAACAUUUUAGUAACCUUAGGUUUUUUUGUUGUUGUAGACAUUUAGGUUUCAAUUCCAUAAUGUAACGAAAGCUCAAAAAUAGAGCAUGAUGGCCUUGUAUCUUGAACAUAUAAUUUCCAAAUGCAAUGUAAU